This 200-nucleotide ribosomal RNA is filed under the name uncultured bacterium. RNAcentral describes it as "partial 16S ribosomal RNA". It matches the Rfam family "Bacterial small subunit ribosomal RNA", at positions 524 to 723 of the family's 1533-position model. The record is from RNAcentral.
UACGGAGGGUGCAAGCGUUACUCGGAAUCACUGGGCGUAAAGGACGCGUAGGCUGGUUGGUAAGUCAGAUGUGAAAUCCUACAGCUCAACUGUAGAACUGCAUUUGAAACUACUAACCUAGAGUAUGGGAGGGGGAGAUGGAAUUAGUGGUGUAGGGGUAAAAUCCGUAGAUAUCACUAGGAAUACCGAAAGCGAAGGCG